Molecule: ribosomal RNA, 501 nt
Filed under: uncultured bacterium
Lineage: Bacteria
Description: partial 16S ribosomal RNA
Rfam family: Bacterial small subunit ribosomal RNA
Source: RNAcentral
AUUGAACGCUGGCGGCAGGCUUAACACAUGCAAGUCGAGCGGGGGAAGGUAGCUUGCUACCGGACCUAGCGGCGGACGGGUGAGUAAUGCUUAGGAAUCUGCCUAUUAGUGGGGGACAACAUCUCGCAAGGGAUGCUAAUACCGCAUACGUCCUACGGGAGAAAGCAGGGGAUCUUCGGACCUUGCGCUAAUAGAUGAGCCUAAGUCGGAUUAGCUAGUUGGUGGGGUAAAGGCCUACCAAGGCGACGAUCUGUAGCGGGUCUGAGAGGGUGAUCCGCCACACUGGGACUGAGACACGGUCCAGACUCCUACGGGAGGCAGCAGUGGGGAAUAUUGGACAAUGGGGGGAACCCUGAUCCAGCCAUGCCGCGUGUGUGAAGAAGGCCUUAUGGUUGUAAAGCACUUUAAGCGAGGAGGAGGCUACUUUAGUUAAUACCUAGAGAUAGUGGACGUUACUCGCAGAAUAAGCACCGGCUAACUCUGUGCCAGCCGCCGCCGUAA